This 502-nucleotide ribosomal RNA is filed under the name uncultured bacterium. RNAcentral describes it as "partial 16S ribosomal RNA". It matches the Rfam family "Bacterial small subunit ribosomal RNA", at positions 29 to 523 of the family's 1533-position model. The record is from RNAcentral.
AUUGAACGCUGGCGGCGUGCUUAACACAUGCAAGUCGAUCGGUAACAGGUGUAGCAAUACAUGCUGACGAGAGGCGGACGGGUGAGGAACGCUUGGGAAUCUGCCUAUCAGCGGGGGACAACCCGGGGAAACCCGGGCUAAUACCGCAUACGCUCUACGGAGGAAAGCCGGGGACCGCAAGGCCUGGCACUGAUAGAUGAGCCCAAGUCGGAUUAGCUAGUUGGCGGGGUAACGGCCCACCAAGGCGACGAUCCGUAGCUGGUCUGAGAGGACGAUCAGCCACACCGGAACUGAGACACGGUCCGGACUCCUACGGGAGGCAGCAGUGGGGAAUAUUGGACAAUGGGCGAAAGCCUGAUCCAGCGACGCCGCGUGGGUGAAGAAGGCCUGCGGGUUGUAAAGCCCUUUCGGUAGGGACGAAAGCUCUCGACCUAACACGUCGGGAGGUUGACUUAACCUACAAAAGAAGCACCGGCUAACUCUGUGCCAGCCGCCGCGGUAA